AUGCCAGCACACGAGGUCUUUUCACGCCUCCUGCUUACUGAGCAACGAGUCGAGACGCGCCGAUCCAGGGGCAACGGCGCCCUCUCGACAAACGCCGCCACCAAGGGUGGUCGCUCCUCUGCUUCAUCCAGGGCUCCUUCGGGGCAGUCACCACCACCCGCCUCGGCCCCUCCUCCUACUGCGACGCUACCAGGGGCUGGCGGUCCACGUGUGUGCCAGCUUUAUGGUCGCGAUGGGCACUGGGCCUCGAAGUGUCACAAGCGCUUCCAGCGGGGUUUUCUUGGUCUCGGCAAUGACGGGAAGGAUACACGCAACUUUGCUCGUCAGGUCGCCAUGGCUGAUCGUCCGCCGCCGCAGAAGCCACAGGGACACACUCAGUCCUACUCCAUUGAUCCCCACUGGUACAUGGACUCUGGGGCGACAGAGCACCUGACUAGUGAGAUGGGGAAGCUUCACACUCGUGAACCCUACCAUGGCUCCGACAAGAUCCACACCGCCAAUGGAGCAGGUAUGCACAUCUCUCAUAUUGGUCAAGCAUCACUUCUCACUAGACAUGCCAAUAGGAGUCUUCAACUUCGCAAUGUUCUUUGA
RNAcentral lists this ribosomal RNA (591 nucleotides) under Triticum aestivum (bread wheat). RNAcentral's name for it is "partial small subunit ribosomal RNA". The record is from RNAcentral. Lineage: Eukaryota; Viridiplantae; Streptophyta; Magnoliopsida; Poales; Poaceae.